GGAUGUGAGGGCGAUCUCACUGGGACAUCUGUCACCCCACUGAUUGCCAGGGUUGAUUUGGCUGACCUGGCUGGCUAGGCAGGUGUCCCCUUCCUCCCUCACCACUACAUGUGCGUCCCUCCACAAGGUGCAUGCUCAGUUGAAGAGGAAGGCCUUCCCUGAAUAGAGAUGGACCGGUCUUCCGUUGAGGGUAUAGGAGUAGCUGCACUCCCCUGUUAGAACCUCCAAACAAGUUCUCAAGCCCCUAAUCUCCACUUAUAGACAGAAAGCUUCAUGAGCAGUGAAUCAGUGCUACAAAUGUCUCUUU
Unclassified non-coding RNA from Erinaceus europaeus (western European hedgehog), 307 nucleotides. Its record names the gene 7SK. It matches the Rfam family "7SK RNA". Rfam says of the family: 7SK was discovered as an abundant small nuclear RNA in the mid-70s but a possible function has only recently been suggested. Two independent studies have found that 7SK RNA binds the CDK9/cyclin T complex (known as elongation factor P-TEFb). NCBI's taxonomy places the organism in Eukaryota, Metazoa, Chordata, Mammalia, Eulipotyphla, Erinaceidae. The record is from Ensembl.